AUGUUUGCUGUGGCACCGCAUCCCCCGUUCAAGAGGAAAAAAAAAAGGGCAAACACGCUCCGCGAGAGCAUCUCCGGUUGCUUGCACAAACGAAGGUUUCCAGCACAGGGCGUGGGGUUUGGGGGGGGGGGGGCGGGGGGGGGGGAGAGAUCAGGGCUCGAAAAUAAGCCAGGAGAAGCCCGCAGCCGCGGAGACAGCGCCCGAGGGAUGGAGGCCUCGCCCGGCAGUGCCCGGGGCGGAGGGAGGCGGGGUGGGGGGGGGGGGGCUCCGGGAGCCGAGACCCCGCGGGGUCUGGCGGAGGGGCCCCCGAUCGGUCCCGGAUCCCUGGACCGCCAGGUUACGCCCCCACUGCUUAAACGCGUUAACGUCCAGCCCUCGCCUCCCUCACCCCCGAAACACCCCCAGCAUCGCUCCCCACAGCCCGCAGCCCUUGACCCCGACGCCGACCGGACCGCGACGGCGCCCUCUCCAGGCCGCGGUGGAGGACACAGGCCAGGCCGCCAGCCCCGCAGCGGCGGCGGCGGCGGCCCCGGGCAGCGCGAUCCCGGGGGAGGAUGGCAGCUGGGCUGGGGCCUGUCCCCCCUCCCCGCCCCCAGGGGCAGCGUGCGCAGGGCCGCGAGUGGGCAGCGCCUCCGCCCCGCACGAACAAAGCGGCCGCGGCGAGCGGGGCGGGGGGGUCGGGGGGCACUCACCGGAGGGCGGGUGGGCGCGGGCUGGCCCGGCCGGGAGCGGGGACCGUGGCGGGCCGGGGGGCGCGCUGGCGACGGGGAGGGGGCGGCAGGCGCGGCGUCCACGGCGGGGCCCGGGAGCCCCGCGGUGCGGGGGGGAGAUGGGGCUGCGGGCCGCGAUCGAGGCUGCGGCCACGGGGUGCGGGAGCCGGUCGGCCGGGGCCGUGCAGCGAGCGGCGCUAGGCGGCCGGGGCAGCGACGCCGCCGCCACCGCCUCCUCUUCCUUCUCCGGCCCCGCUCCCUGCUCCCCCGCGUCGUUCUCCUCCUCCUCGCUGGGUCCCCGCCGCCGCCGCCGCCGCCGCCUCAGCUUCGGCGCUUCUCGGUCUUCUCCUCUCCAUCAAGGCCGGGCCGCCCCGCAGGGACCAUCCCGGGAAGUGAGGGGCUGUUGCCGUUCCCCGCAGCGGUUGGUGGCCAUCUUUAA
This 1149-nucleotide long non-coding RNA is filed under the name Bos indicus x Bos taurus (hybrid cattle). RNAcentral describes it as "lncRNA (ENSBIXG00000024254.1)". Lineage: Eukaryota; Metazoa; Chordata; Mammalia; Artiodactyla; Bovidae. The record is from RNAcentral.